Molecule: long non-coding RNA, 626 nt
Organism: Wyeomyia smithii (pitcher-plant mosquito)
Lineage: Eukaryota; Metazoa; Arthropoda; Insecta; Diptera; Culicidae
Exons: 3
Source: RefSeq, a predicted model, not a curated record
ACUGGCUCGUGGAAGAUAAGCUGGACGUUUACUCUGAGCGGCCUAUAUCUACACAUCUACGAAUCAUAUCAUCUAGCGGCACACCGGACUCGCGCGUGCAUAUUCUCAUUGGCGAUUCUCAAUGAAUACAACCUUGACAGUAAAUUAAUGUGAUAGCUAGCGGCGUAUAGGGCGUACAUGUUGGACAACGGUAUACACAGAUGACAGAACUAACAAGAACUUGACAGACUUCGCUUCAAAACACAUGUUUUUGCAGAUUCUUACGGAUGGGCAAAAGAAAGGAAUGUGUGCUAAGAUGUACGCGGCAACAUCUCCACAUCAUCAAACGAACGGGGAGGUAAUCAGAGCACGAAUGUAGUGUGCUUUGAUGAUGCAGUUAACACUUAGAGACAUGAUAACACCAACAUAUAGAUUGUAUAACAUCAGCACCAAUAUCGACUAGCGUUUCCAGCAAAAUAGUUCAAAUUCAAGACUACCAGACCGAAACUGUAAAAUAGCUGUGAAAUGUCUAGACGCAAUCCUCAAUUUCAGAUAACAAAGGAGCAAACAAAAUGUAAACAUUUUUCAAACUUACAAUCUGUUCUUCGGCAUAAAAUACACAGCCAUUUUAGGCAGGUUUUGUACAC